Molecule: transfer RNA, 72 nt
Filed under: Aedes aegypti (yellow fever mosquito)
Lineage: Eukaryota; Metazoa; Arthropoda; Insecta; Diptera; Culicidae
Rfam family: tRNA
About the family: Transfer RNA (tRNA) molecules are approximately 80 nucleotides in length.
Source: Rfam by way of RNAcentral
GGCUCGGUAGCUUAGUUGGUAAAGCGCUCGUCUAGCAUACAAGAGUCCUGGGUAUAAAUCCCAACCGAGCAC